AAUUCAAUAGAGGUCAUCAGUAGAUGCUAAAACCAUUAGGUGUAGGCAUUACAUACAUAUCUGGCCGCAAGGCCUGGGCAAUCAGCUGAGAAGCCAUCUCAGUGUGAGCCAGAGAGUCGUCAAGCAGCAGCGGCUGCUCUGGGUCUAACAGUAGUAGUAGAACCUCUGCUCCUACUCUGAGCCCUCUCCUGGGCUUGGUGUUGUAUCUCAUUCUCAACGCAACCAUGUCCCUUCCUCCUGGACAACGGUGCAGCAGUGGCAAGGAGAGACGAGGUCCCUUAGGGACACCAGAACAGAGAAUGCAGCAUCUGAUUUCCUCAGAUUGAUUUCCCUCUGUUUUUCUAGCUCCAUCCACUCCAGCCCAUGAAUCUUCUCCAAAAACGAGAGCAGAGCAUUCAGCAGCUAUGGGCCAUCAGUAAGGGCCAUUUAGCACUCACCCCUGCUCCAUUACAAGGCCUGUCCCAGUAGCCAGUGAAUAACUGCAUGAAGAGGCUCUCAGAUGCUGCCAACUGCCCAGGUGAGUUUGCCCUGGAAGUGAUAAACAUCUUACCAGGAAGAAACCAACAUUUAGAAUGCCUCAUAAAGAAAGAAUCCACUAAGCUGAAUAUAAGACAGAAUAAACAGGUUAAAAAAAAGAAAAAAAGAUUUACCUAUAAGGAGUAGGUACCUACAAAAAACAGGUCGUGUGACUUUAGCUCCUCCAGGAGGAAAGGCAGCUCCUGAAUCCAUGACUGUUAUAUAGGAAGAAAGGGAUACUCUUCUUUUUUUUUUCUCACCAAAUCCAUUAAGAGUUCCAAAGGUGGAUUAAUGGAGCUACAGAAUAGAAAUUUGGUAAUAGCCCACUGUCCUCACAAGAAAAAGACCUCCAUCCAUGUUGUGCAAGAAUCAGCUGACUCCCAUUACCACCCAUCCCAGUUAGGCCCUUCUUCUUCAAGAGGAGCCUAUAAACUGGCUCCUACAAUGUGACUGCAGCCCGGUCACAAGGCAGUCUGGAAGGUAAAUGUCUUGCAAAAAUAAUGCUGUAAAUUCCCUGAACUCAUACUCUUUGGCAGAAGGGAGAGAUCAUGGUGGGGAAACCAAAAACCAACUGGAAGAAAUGGAAGAGCUGACUUAGAGAAGGAAAUUGAAAUGUAGUUUGAGAGAGAGAAACUGAAAUAGAGCUCAAAUAUAAGCCAGCUAUUAGUGAGAAGAUUAGACUUAAGAGGAGAGUCCUGUAUGGACACUUGGUUUUCAAAACUUGGAAGACCAAGAAUAAACAGCUCAAACAGGCCAAUGACACUGUGGAGAGGGACUUAGCUGAUAAAGGGAAAGGAAUUCAAAAGCAUUUUGUGGACAUGGAUAUUCAAAACAAGAAGUUAUAAUCCUAAUUGUAGGACAUAAAGAUGACACAGGAUAACCCUCUGAGACAAGACAGUGCCUGGAUUUCAAGAUUUUCCAGAAAAGAAAACCUUAACUUCCAACACCUCCAAUGGCAAAAUGGAGAGCAUGUUGUCUCUGGAAAAGUAGUCACAGAGUAAGGGGACAACAGUGAGUUGACACGACAGAUGAUGUGACUAAUGGCUCUGAUUUGUUUGAUGAGAUUUUGAUGGUUACCACCACCGAGUUUGGUCCCCUUCUUUCCAUAGCCUCUCUCUCCAUCCCUGAAGCAAAGGGCCAAGAAGCCUCCACAUUGCAGUGACCCUGCGGCGUGAUGCCAGACGGGGCCACCAGAUCUUUGGGGUUCUUGGUGGAGUCGCUCAUCAUCCAGAACGUGUCCAAGUUCCGGGAGCACAGGUCAUCUGACAAGUCUGGUGCUGACGGGCAGAAACUCCCGGUGGGCCUUUGUAAGGAUGAGCCUUUUGUUGAACAGCAGGCAAAGCGACCUGGGCCCAGUUCCCAGAUCCUGUAGCGCAAGGAAGACUCGUUCCUGUGCCAACUCCAGCAGCACAACGCUGGCGUUUGCAGCCCAGAAGAAAGAAUCACGGAUGGCAUGGCGCCCAGCUCCGCCUGCGGGUCUGCUGUCCCAUGGCCAGACCCACAGGGACAGUCCCAAGCUGCGCCUUCCCACCCACGUGCAGGCCUGCUCCUCGGGGCCUGAGCAGACGCAGCAGGUCCGCGCGGUCUGCUGCUCGCGCUCCUUCUUGUGCAACUGAAAGCAACGAUCGUUGACAGUUCCAACCGUCCUUGCUCAGUGGCUGUUUUCAACUGGAAGAUCACAGUGCCCCAAGUCAAGGAAAGGCCCAAGUGAGGGACAGCAAUCGAGCUCCUGGCCCUACCACACCCAGGGCAUCUCCAACCCUUCUCCUGCUUGAGGCUAAGGAGGGAAAAAAAUGAGAGAAAUACUGAAGACAGAGAUCCUGGCAAAACAAUACCUACCACAAGGAAACAGGAAUGAAGAAGGAAAUUGAGAAUGCCGGACCUUCUAAAACCUUAAGCAUGGGCCUCAGGCCUACAGCAUCCCGUGGAAGUUUAGUAGGUUUGCACAAUUUCAGACCUCAUGCUGGACUGACCAAAUGAGAAUCUACAUAUUAACAGAUUCCUAGGUAAUUCAUUGACCACUAAAAUUUUAUGAGCGCUGAUCUACAAGAUACCUGACUGAAACUCUUCAAAAAUCAGUCUAAGGCCCAGAUGGGUUGGUGAAUUCUGCCAAACAUUCAAAGAAGAAAUUAUACCAAAUCUCUACAAUCUCUUUGAGAGGCUCCCUCUGUGUUUACCAAUACAGGUAAUACAAGGUACUUGGUUGUGCAGAGCAACAUGGUGAGGUGUGGUCUCAGCUCCAGCUCAGCCUCUAGGCUCUCUCCCCUUCACUCUCACCCUAGUCUUCCUGUUCACACACAUCCACUGAAUUCCUGGGCAAAGAUGAAGGCAGGGAGUAAAACGAUCAAGAAGUAUUUCAAAUCAAUAGUGUUCAACUUUAGCUUUUGAAAGCCUGGCUUCAAAUAAAUGUACAAUAAAUUCUUGAUCAUUCCUUCUCCCUUCAACGCUCCAUUCUGAAGGAUUUAGUGUUAAACCCAGCCUUAAAAGAGCUGAAAGGCACAGUCACCAACCUGCUUGAAAGAUAACCAAGUCGGAGGUCUCCGGGGCUUGGCCUCCAUCAGACGAGGACUGCGAGGAAGGAGAGGACUGAGGCAGUGUGGGAGAUAGAAACCAGAGGGAAGUCAAGGAUUACAAGAUAUUCCAAAUACCCAUCUGAGCAGCUAAUGCAUGGGCUUUCCCACCUCUUUAAUCACACUCAUGCAACCAUCAAGAAAUAUCAAGAAAGACAAUUUCUUCAGCACACCAGAUUCCCAUCUAUGCCCUCUCAAAGCAACUACGUUCCCCAGUGUGCUCGUUACUCUGAUUUCUACUAUCAAAAAGUGGUUUGCCUGUUUCAGCUUCAUGUAAAUAGGAUCAAACUGCAUGUAUUGUUUUGAAUCUGGAUACUUUUGAUGACAUUGUGAGAUUCAUUCAUGUUGUUAGAUGUAAAUAUCUUUAUUCACUUUGGUUUCUCUGUGUUAUUCCAUUGUAUAAAUGUACCACUUAUACCAAUUUACUGAUCCAUUUUACUACUUAUUGGCAUUUGGGCUUUGUCAAUUUGGGGGUUCUUAUGGAUACUGCUGCUGUGAGAAAAUUUGUACAUGUCUUUUGGUAGACAUAUGUACAUUUUUCGGGAGGUUUAAAUCUAAGACUGAAAUAAUUGGUUCACUCAUCAAGUUCACUAUAUUUUUUGUCUGCUAUGUCUAAUCUGCUGUUAAUCUGUCAUUGUAUUUUCAUCUGUCAUUGUAGUUUUCACCUCUACUACUUUGAUUUUGGCCUUUUUGUUUAAAAUUGACUUCGACUUCUAUGUCUACUUAUCUUUUUGAACAGAAGGCAUACAGCUAUUAUGAUGCAUUUAAUGUCCUUGGUCUACUAAUUCUAACAUCCAUAUCAGCUCUGGGCUGUAUUCGAUUGAUUUUUCUUUUCUUAAGGGUCGUAUUUCCUCAGCCUUUGACUGACAAAUGCCUAGUAAUCUUUGAUUGGGUAUCUGACGUUGUGAAUUACACCUUUUUGGUGAAUAUUUUUUAUUCUUGAGCUUUACUUUGGACACACUGAAGUUACCUGAAAAAUGUGAUAAUUUUGGGUCUUGCUUUUAAAAUGUAUUAGGUGGAACCAGAGAAGUUCUCAGUCUAGGGCUCAUUAUUUCACACACAAUUAACCCAAGACUCAUCUGAGGACUCUAUGCAGUACCCCUUGAAUUAUUAGGUUUUUCAGUCUGGCUAGUAGGAACAGGCACUAUACCCAGCUCUGUGUUACUACUGCAUACUGUUCCUUCUAAUUCUUUUACAUGGUUCUUUCCCCAGCCCCAGGAAGUUUCUUUACAUGCAUGUGCUCACCAAUCCCCUGCUAAAUUGUUAAAUUCUCAGGAGUAGGGAGGGGGUGAAGUUCUUCAUAUAUUUCUGGUUGUCUUCUGUGCAGCUUUUUAUCUGAUUCACUUCUGGAUAUGCAUACGAAAAUAAGGUUGUACAAUACAAACCCUUUUGCAAUGUGCCUUUACAAUAUUGCAUAGUAUGUAUGUUCCAUAAUUUAUUUUAAUUUUUCCCUAUAAAAAAUAAUAUCAAAGUGUUUCAUUCUGUGAGUUUAUUAUUUAAUACAUUUUUUUAAGCAACAAUGUAUUAAAUGAGCAAGGAAAUAGAGGGUUUGAAUAAUCAACCAGCUCAUCUAAAUAGAAAUGUACAGAAUUUUGUAUAUAGCAUUAAAAUGUAUACAUACUUCUUAUAUCCAUGAAAAAUUUGCAAAAGCCAAUCUGUUAUUUGGCUAUAAAAAUUCUUAUGAACUCUCAAUAAAAAUAGAAAUGAACAACAAAAAAUUUUCAAGAACACAAUUUCAAAAUUAGAGUAUUGUCUACCAAAUUACUUCUAUAAUAAUGAGUACAUCUAAUCUAAAAUUAUAAAUUAAAGAUAAGGUUUCAGGGGCCAGCCCAGUGGUGUGGUGGUUAAGUGUGCAUGUUCCACUUUGGUGGCCUGGGGCUCCCGGGUGCGGACAUGGCACCACUUGGCAAGCCAUGCUGUGGCAGGCGUCCCACAUAUAAAGUAGAGGAAGAUGGGCAUGGAUAUUAGCUCAGGGCCAGUCUGCCUCAGCAAAAAGAGGAGGAUUGGCAGCAGAUGUUAGCUCAGGGCUAAUCUUCCUCCAAAAAAAAAAAAGAUAAGGUUUCAUAUCAAAACUUACCCUAUAGUAAUGGAUGAGACUUAUAAUUGAUAUACUUUGUUUUAUACUUGUUUAUCAAUGUAUCCGAAUGCGUUAUCAGAAAAGAAGGAAAUGUUUUAGCUAGAUGUUUCUUUUGUGCAGAUUACAGUAGUAAAAAUAUGUAAAAAAAUCUAAAAGUUCAACAGUGGCAGACUGCUUAAACGGAUCAUUGUAUAUAUUAACAUUUAAAAAAUGGACAAUAAGGCAAUCAUCCAACUAAUUUUUUUAUCUAAAUUUAUUAACAUGGAACAACUUUCACAUCGUAUUGAUAGGUAGGUAAAAAAGAUGUCAAAUGUUCAUACUACAGUCCCAUUGUAAACAAGACUUCAUGGAGGUUUCCAUAUGUAUACAUGUGUGUGCAAAGAAAGAUAACUAGAAAAAUGUUCACCAAACAAUUAGCAAAUUAAUAGCUUACAAAGAUAAUGGGUAUUUUAUAUUUUCCCUUUUAUAAUUUUGGAUUGAAUCUUUAUAAAAGAUAUAAAUCAUUUUUAUAAUCAAAGAAAAAAUAAAACUAGUUCAAUUAAAUAAAUCUAAAAUUUGUUUUCAG
Equus caballus (horse) is the source of this 5728-nucleotide long non-coding RNA. The record is from Ensembl. NCBI's taxonomy places the organism in Eukaryota, Metazoa, Chordata, Mammalia, Perissodactyla, Equidae.